RNAcentral lists this ribosomal RNA (1695 nucleotides) under Triticum aestivum (bread wheat). RNAcentral's name for it is "partial small subunit ribosomal RNA". The record is from RNAcentral. Lineage: Eukaryota; Viridiplantae; Streptophyta; Magnoliopsida; Poales; Poaceae.
AUGUCGUCUGCUUGUCCUGGCCGGCCAACGAAGCCCAUGGGCAAUGAUAAUCCGUCGUUGGUAAAUAUACAAGGUGCAUCUGGUCCAAAACCAGCCGCUGUCCGCGAACGCCAAACCGCCAGUUCCUUUCCUUUCCCGCCCGCCCGCGCCCGUCCGCCCGCCCGCAACCCGCCCGGCCGCCACCGCCCCCCGCCUUCCGGCGAUGACCCCGCCGCCUUCUCCUCCGCCGCCGCAGCCGGUGGGCUGACCCACGUGGCCGCCGCUGCCAUCUCGCCCGCAACCGCUGCCAUGCCGUCGUCCCCGUCCGUCGGUCCGGAUUUGCACCGCCCCGGCCGGUGGCCACCGCGCCGGCGGCGAAGCCGGCGAAGGGAUGAGGCGGCGGAAAACGGUCGGCCAACCGCAGCCGCAACCCGACCGACACCUGUGCGGCCGGCGGCCUCCUCCAGCAGCCACACAUCCAUUCCUCAACCUCCCCCGCCGCCACCGUGGGCCGUCGAGGAAGAUGUGGCCACGCCGACGGCCACCACCUCCAACAUGUUCGACGAAAUGUCGCAAAGUUUUGAUGAUGAAGCUUUCAUGCACGCGGCAAAUGUGGCAAAUGAUGAUUACAUGUAUGCGUCACAAGAAUAUGAAACCCAAUAUGAUGAUGACAAUCUUGAUGUGGACGAUGAGGGCUUUGUUGUCAAGGGAAGAAGUGGAAAUUAUACCACCGCGGAGGAUGUGUUGAUAUGCACCGCUUGGAAGAAAACCUCUCAAGAUGCAAGCGUUGGAAGCGACCAAACGGUGAACACCUAUUGGCAACACAUCAAGGAGUACUUCGAUGAGUGCAACACAAGUGGUCACUUCCGUUCGAGCGACUCUCUAUGCCAACGUUGGUCCACACAAGUGAAGAUGAUGAUCGUACCACGGUUCACAACGCCGGUGGUGUUGAUGACCCGCAUGAGUAAUAUUCAUGACAAAAUUGAUGAAGGCGGCGAUUCGGUGCUCGAGCCCAGAUGCUCCCGAAAUCUUCGUCGUCCGCUCGUUACUCGGGAUGCGAACAAAUCCUGCUGGCGCGUCUGCUGCGGAACGGGGAAAAAGGGUUGUAUUCGAUAUACAGUAGGAAACAAUGGAGCUUUUGUGGGCCAGAUCGUACGCGGGGAAAGGCCCGUUUCGCUUGCCAGUUAUGGUCCGUGGACCAGGACGUUUGGUUUUGUACCGAGCCAUGGAUCAGAAAAGUGUGCAGCCCGUUUGGAUAAAACGGCGACAUCUGGAGUCGUCUCCACCCCUCUACCCGCAGAAAUCACCUCUGUUCCGCCUUCAUGGAUUACGGGAGGACAGGCGGCGGCGCUUGAUCUGUACCAGAAACUAGAAGAUGGAAGAUUUGUCAGCAGGCACGCCGGGAGAAAUAAGCUAACGCUGGCCAUGACCGGCGCUGGUUGCCACUUGAGAUCAGGUUCCCGCUCCGGGAGGAGUUCGCCGAUAGCUUGGAUCACACAGAUCCAGCGCCUCUGGCCUUUCUGCUGGAGAGCUUGGCCAACGGUGGAGUCCCGGCGGACUCAAACAAUGGGUCUGGUUACGGGCAGCAGAUCGGCAGCGCUGUCCCGGAGAGAGCACACGGGGUGGUGCGCCGUCGUCCGGAUGCUUCUCCUGCUUGGUUGGCGCAGUCAACUGACAGAAUCAACCGGCAAGCCCCCGCUGGACGAAAAGGUCUGA